UGGACUAAAGUAGAAGGGGCGCCACACUCUUUCUAAUCCAAGAGAGAAUGAUAAGCCUAUGGAUGAGGAUCACCACAAGAAAAGGAUUCCUUGAUAUGAUCAGUUUUGGUUCAAUCCAGAACCUAAGAGCAAAUACUCUCAAUUACACAAAGUGUAAAAAGUUAACAAAAUUCAUUGAUCUGACAAGAGUUACAUGUCUCCUUUAUAUAGGAAAGGCUUAUGAUGAUGUAAUAAGCAAAAAGUAACUCCUAAGAAAGCAAAAGGAUUUCAGCCACUAACUAUCAUGAUAGUGGGGCUGAAUUAUUAUAAGGAAAAUGCAAAAUAAAAGAAGAGAUAGUGGUGCUCUUUUAUUGUUUGGUGCACCACUUUUAUAUGCUUAGUGGAGGAGCUCUUCAUUUUCCACUAUUACAUGUUUGGAUGAUAAUAUUUAACUUUGGUUCUUUUUCUUCAAUUUGGGUCAAGCCUUCAUCAACUUGGAUCGGACCUUCUAUUGAUUUGAUCAUGAAGUGAACUAAGGCAUCACUGACUCUUCUUGCACGCGCCCUUGUCAUAGGACCUCCUAAGCUUUGGAUUGCAUCACUUAUGUCUUGGAUUGUGUCCUCAUCAGUUUGUAUGAAUUCUUUUAUUUAAGGGCUUAUAGAGUAAGUGUUCAU
This 653-nucleotide long non-coding RNA is filed under the name Trifolium pratense (red clover). RNAcentral's name for it is "long non-coding RNA (TPRA_LNC012868)". Lineage: Eukaryota; Viridiplantae; Streptophyta; Magnoliopsida; Fabales; Fabaceae. The record is from RNAcentral.